RNAcentral lists this ribosomal RNA (480 nucleotides) under uncultured bacterium. RNAcentral's name for it is "bacterial SSU rRNA". It matches the Rfam family "Bacterial small subunit ribosomal RNA", at positions 28 to 493 of the family's 1533-position model. The record is from RNAcentral.
GAUGAACGCUAGCGGCAGGCUUAACACAUGCAAGUCGAGGGGCAGCAUGAGACGGAGAUUCGUCGAAGUCUUGAUGGCGACCGGCGCAAGGGUGCGUAACGCGUGAGCAACUUGCCCGUUUCUGGGGGAAUAACCGGUGGAAACGCCGACUAAUACCCCAUGGCAUCAUGAUGAGGCAUCUCAUCAUGAUUAAAGAAAUUCGGAAACGGAUAGGCUCGCGUGACAUUAGCUAGAUGGCGGGGUAACGGCCCACCAUGGCGACGAUGUCUAGGGGUUCUGAGAGGAAGGUCCCCCACACUGGAACUGAGACACGGUCCAGACUCCUACGGGAGGCAGCAGUGAGGAAUAUUGGUCAAUGGUCGGAAGACUGAACCAGCCAUGCCGCGUGAAGGUGACGGCCCUAUGGGUCUUAAACUUCUUUUGUAAGGGUAGCAAUAAGGAUCACGCGUGGUCUGAUGAGAGUACCUUACGAAUAAGCAU